RNAcentral lists this transfer RNA (73 nucleotides) under Nitrospirota bacterium. RNAcentral describes it as "Nitrospirae bacterium (hydrothermal vent metagenome) tRNA-Ala". It matches the Rfam family "tRNA". From Rfam's summary of the family: Transfer RNA (tRNA) molecules are approximately 80 nucleotides in length. Their secondary structure includes four short double-helical elements and three loops (D, anti-codon, and T loops). Lineage: Bacteria; Pseudomonadati; Nitrospirota. The record is from RNAcentral.
GGGGCAAUAGCUCAGUAGGGAGAGCGGUACGUUCGCAACGUACAGGUCGGGGGUUCAAAUCCCCCUUGCUCCA